UUUUUUUUUUUUUAAAUCUGCGGUUACUGAAUAGUUUUCCUCUUACUCGUGUACUCGUUCAACCGCUGGCUACCUCAUGCCUCGUUGAUUCACACACACACACACACACACACACACAGCUGAUCUGAUUUUUAUUCUCAAGUUAUGGAUUUAGAUUUGUGUGUAUUUGGACCCCAAAUUAGUACAAUUUUGCAUUAAAUUUUAUCCAUAUUCCAUACAUGGAUAUAUGCAACAUUCGAAGCUCCCAAAAUUGGGGUUAUUCUUGAUGUGCUGUAUUCGAUUUGGAUGAACUUGAAAUGGGCUAGAUGUAGUUGGAAGUUAUAUUUGAUUUUAUUUUUAUUUAAAUUUUCAUAUUCUAAUUUUUCCUAUUCUUCUGGAAUAUAUAUAUAUUUAUUAUAUUUUUUUUGUAUAAAAAUUCAAUUCCUAUAAAGCUAAGGCUACGCUCUGCUCAUUAGAGGUAAAACGCCUAGCAUUAGCUUUUUCAAACACUGCUAACAAUAAUAAUAUUUUGAAAGUAACUAUUCAAUUGCUUGCAUAUAGUUGUCAAAUUAGUGCCAACAGUACUCUUUUUCAUCAAAUGGCAAUAUUUUACAAAUCUAAAAUGUCUUUGUUUGGUAAGAAAAUCAAAUAAUAUAGAUGCAUGCCUCAACCUGCUGGUGAAAGCAACAGGGACAUAUUGUUGAUGCCAGGGAGACAAAAAACAGAGAAUUGGACUGGGUUUGGGGCAUUUAUUAUUUAAACAACUUGGCAUUUGCACAGGCAACAAAUUUAAAACUAAGAUUAACUUGUUAUAGAAUCACAAUUGACUCUGAUUGCAUUUUUUUUUCAUGAGAGAGAGAGAGAGAGAGAGAUGUCGCAUUGGGUUGGAGCUUGCGCAAAAGCCACCAAUGAUUUCUGAAUGGGGAAUGCGAAAUGGGGAUUAUCUUUGAAUUAUAGAAAAAUCAUCAAAAAAUUGAAUUUUUGUUUGUUAAUGGUCCUUGUUUUUCAAUUUCGCUCUCCUCUUCUUUAAAAUUUUUUCCCUGGCUUUUUAGGCAUUACAGAUUAAUCCCAUGUUUUCUAUCAAUGUAGUCAAUAAGUGGCAGCAUGGCGCUCCUGGCACACAGCUAGGCACCAGGCACCCAACCAUGUGGAGGGGCCACUAACCUGAAUAAUUUCUCCUGAGAUUGCUAUUUGAGAAAAUAGGGCAAUAUAUUUUGCACAGCAAAGAUUUUUUAGGCAUGAGAAUAUGUAGUGGAUGGCGUCAACUCCUCUUGUUGCUGGCUCUCAUUUUCUUUCUUUCCCAUUUAUUCUCUGGAGUUUUAGAAUUGCAGCAAAGCUCAACCGUGGAAGACAUCCAUAAAAAGCACAGCAAGAAAUUUGACCAUCUGGUUCUUGGGCCAGCUGCUGGUCAGGGUUUGCACGAUCGAUUGCAGUGCCAAGGAGUCAAAGCUCUUAAUAAGACCCAUUUUUCGACCUCCUCCCGCAUCUCUUAUUCUGCAGAAAGCAUUUCUUUUGUCACUGUCUUUGCUGUUUAUAACAGCUCUCUCAACAUGCAUGUGGAUGGUAGAUCAUCAACUUUGGUUGCUGUGGGGAAUGCUACUUAUAAUAAGGUUGAGAGGUCAAUGGCUGUUUUGAAUGUCUUCAUUAACUACAUCCAGGUGACAAUGCCCCAGAGCACUGUAAUCAUUCUAACUGAUCCAGCAUCUGAGGUUUCAGUGCACAGAAAUAGGGUUAGUUUAUAUCCCAUUAAAGGUGAAUAUUCACGGGACAAGUUGAUGCUUCAAAGAAUGAAGUCUUACAUUGCCUUUCUGGAAGCAAGACUUGAGGAGCUUUCUAAGGGUUGGGGGCAUGCUAAUCAUUACAUCUUCACAGACUCAGACAUAGCUGUGGUUGACGAUCUAGGACAGAUUUUUCAUGAUUACCCCAAUUUUCAUGUAGCUCUUACCUUCAGGAAUAACAAAGACCAACCCUUGAAUUCAGGAUUUAUAGCUGUAAGGGGCACUGCUGAUGGUAUUCUAAGGGCAAAGAUUUUCCUACGGAAAGUGUUGAAAGUUUACAGCUCCAAAUACAUGAAUGCCUCCCGAAUGCUAGGCGAUCAGUUAGCUCUUGCCUGGAUUGUAAAAUCUCAUCCUUCCUUUGAUGCAAGAAGGUUUGUUAGACCACGGGCUUUUGUUGAAGAAAUUGAUGGUGCUUCUGUCCUAUUUUUACCCUGUGCUAUUUACAAUUGGACACCACCUGAGGGUGCAGGUCAAUUUCAUGGCAUGCCUCUUGAUGUUAAGGUUGUUCAUUUCAAGGGGUCGAGAAAACGCUUAAUGCUCGAGUCUUGGAACUUUUUCAGUUCUUCAUUUGACAUUUCAGAUACUUUGUGCCUUAUCUUGAAGAGCGGGAGAAUGAAGUAUGAUUUUUGAAUGACUACAUUUUGUUUUGGCUGAGCACUUUGAUCAUCUUCUAAUUGUGUAGGAACAGCCAAUUUCAUUUGGCAAGGAAUUGCCACAUUUCUCCGUCAUUCCGUUAUAUUGGACUAUGGAUUUUCUGUCUUUGGCACCGGGCGCAUCCAAAUUCAUAAGAGCACUCAGAUAUAGUUUACCAUGGGAGGUGCUUUCAAGUCUUUUUCCACUCAUUUGAAGUUUUCGAAAGACUUCUUCUCCUAGUGGAUCAGGCAAGCUAUUAAGAUAGACUUGCUUGAGGUUGAUGUCAUCUGGUCCACAGAGAGUGUAAUAUUUUUCAGAGAUAAAAUUAUAAUGCUUCUCCACAUUUUUUCUUUUAAGUGUGCAACGGUUAAAGUCAGUGGCUCAUUUUAAGAUUCAUGUCACUAGAUUUAUUU
Malania oleifera is the source of this 2803-nucleotide RNA transcript. RefSeq lists it as uncharacterized. The record is from RefSeq and is a predicted model, not a curated record. Lineage: Eukaryota; Viridiplantae; Streptophyta; Magnoliopsida; Santalales; Ximeniaceae. The transcript has 9 exons.